Rhagoletis pomonella (apple maggot) is the source of this 244-nucleotide long non-coding RNA. RefSeq lists it as uncharacterized. The record is from RefSeq and is a predicted model, not a curated record. The transcript has 3 exons. Lineage: Eukaryota; Metazoa; Arthropoda; Insecta; Diptera; Tephritidae.
ACACAGGCACAAAGGUUUUCUCAAAGACUGUCCGAAUGGUCUACUGACGGAGCAAGGUUUUAUUAAAAUUUACAAACAAUUCUUCCCGCAAGGAGAUCCCAGUAAAUUUGCCUCGCUGGUGUUUCGUGUCUUCGAUGAAAAUGAGGAUGGCGCGAUUGAGUUUGAGGAGUUCAUUCGAGCGUUAUCGAUUACAUCGCGCGGCAACCUGGACGAAAAGCUGCAAUGUAAGUACAAUCGGGGGAAU